GACGAACGCUGGCGGCGUGCCUAACACAUGCAAGUCGAGCGAAUGAAGUUCCUUCGGGAAUGGAUUUAGCGGCGGACGGGUGAGUAACACGUGGGCAACCUGCCUCAUAGAGGGGAAUAGCCUUCCGAAAGGGAGAUUAAUACCGCAUAAGAUUGUAGUAUCGCAUGAUACAGCAAUUAAAGGAGCAAUCCGCUAUGAGAUGGGCCCGCGGCGCAUUAGCUAGUUGGUGAGGUAACGGCUCACCAAGGCGACGAUGCGUAGCCGACCUGAGAGGGUGAUCGGCCACAUUGGGACUGAGGCACGGCCCAGACUCCUACGGGAGGCAGCAGUGGGGAAUAUUGCACAAUGGGGGAAACCCUGAUGCAGCAACGCCGCGUGAGUGAUGACGGCCUUCGGGUUGUAAAGCUCUGUCUUCAGGGACGAUAAUGACGGUACCUGAGGAGGAAGCCACGGCUAACUACGUG
RNAcentral lists this ribosomal RNA (464 nucleotides) under uncultured bacterium. RNAcentral describes it as "partial 16S ribosomal RNA". It matches the Rfam family "Bacterial small subunit ribosomal RNA", at positions 28 to 507 of the family's 1533-position model. The record is from RNAcentral.